UUUUUAUAUAGGUAUGGUCAUACAUAGUAUAUCAUUUAAAUAUAGCAUGAUAGGUCUCCUUUAAUCUGACUCAAUCCGUCUAUCAAAGGACAAUAACAUUGUGUAGUCUGAUCCCAGCAUUAGGUGCUUGUCUCCUAAUUUGGUCACUUGUUUUUGGGAAGUGUUUUCCAAUUCACCUGUGGAAAAAAACACAGACACAAGACAAGUUAAUAUAGGAACAAUUCAGAUUUUGUGAUGGAUGGCCAAACACUUCCUGUAAAACAGCAUGUUAUUCAAUUCCAGAAAAACCUGUGUGCUCUAUCAUCUCCCAAACAAGUAAGCAAGACUCAUAUAGCCCUGUCCCCUAAAGAGGAAAGGAGGAUACAGCCACCUUGUUCCCCUGAUAUGAUUGGUAAUCGGCAGCGCUGGCUGCAGGACAAUAGGACGUGGCUGUACCUGAGCUGCUUGUCGCCCCCUUACGUGAAUGGUCCAGGAGAGUAUUCGUCUGCUUUCCAGCCCGACCCAAAGUGAUCCGACGCUGAAUGAAUUGCCUCUUGUCUGCAUUUUGUUCCAAAACUGUCCAUGCCUUGCUCCCAUGUAGAAAGGAAUAUAUUACAUUUUGGGUGACGUGAUUUUAUAAGCAUAUAAAUUAUUUUGAAAUGUUCUAUUGUAAUUGUUCUACUCUCUGUAUAUUGGUUAUUUGAAGGCCACUCGAGAUAUUGCAAGAACAAAUGUUUUUCAUUAUUUGAAAGUGCUGUUUGUUAUUUUUUUACUAAUGUUUUUAUACGCGUUUGUGCUUGUAAAUAGGACUGAUGUUCAUUAUACAUGCGUCCAAAUUUGCACUGAUUUUUACUGAGAAUCUGUAAUCAACAUGCCUAAUGAGCAUGUUGAUUACAUAACAGUGAACGAUAUAAAUGUUUUGUAUGUAUUAUCUAUGUUUCUCCUAUAAAGUUGAUAAAUAUUUUUAAGUGUG
Notothenia coriiceps (black rockcod) is the source of this 952-nucleotide long non-coding RNA. RefSeq lists it as uncharacterized. The record is from RefSeq and is a predicted model, not a curated record. The transcript has 2 exons. NCBI's taxonomy places the organism in Eukaryota, Metazoa, Chordata, Actinopteri, Perciformes, Nototheniidae.